AACGCUGGCUGUGUGCCUAAUACAUGCAUGUCGAGCGGAGUUCUUCGGAACUUAGCGGCGAAUGGGUGAGUAACACGUACUUAACAUGCCCUCUAGAUUGGAAUAACGAUUAGAAAUGAUCGCUAAUGCCGGAUACUUAUAUCUUUCGCAUGAAGGAUAUAUAAAAGGAGCGUUUGCUUCGCUAGAGGAUUGGGGUGCGUAACAUUAGCUAGUUGGUAGGGUAAUGGCCUACCAAGGCUAUGAUGUUUAGCGGGGUUGAGAGACUGAUCCGCCACACUGGGACUGAGAUACGGCCCAGACUCCUACGGGAGGCAGCAGUAGGGAAUUUUCCACAAUGGACGAAAGUCUGAUGGAGCGACACAGCGUGCAGGAUGACGGCCUUCGGGUUGUAAACUGCUGUUAUAAGGGAAGAAAAAAUAAAGUAGGAAAUGACUUUAUCUUGACGGUACCUUGUCAGAAAGCAACGGCUAACUAUGUGCCAGCAGCCGCGGUAAUACAUAGGUUGCAAGCGUUAUCCGGAAUUAUUGGGCGUAAAGCGUCUGUAGGUUGUUUGUUAAGUCUGACGUGAAAACUUGGGGCUCAACCCCAAAUUGCGUUGGAUACUGGCAAACUAGAGUUAUGAAGAGGUUAGCGGAAUUCCUUGUGAAGCGGUGAAAUGCGUAGAUAUAAGGAAGAACACCAACUUGGCGAAGGCAGCUAACUGGGCAUACACUGACACUGAGAGACGAAAGCGUGGGGAGCAAACAGGAUUAGAUACCCUGGUAGUCCACGCUGUAAACGAUGAUGAUUAGCUGAUGGGGAACUCAUCGGCACAGCUAACGCAUUAAAUCAUCCGCCUGAGUAGUAUGCUCGCAAGAGUGAAACUUAAAGGAAUUGACGGGGAUCCGCACAAGCGGUGGAGCAUGUGGUUUAAUUUGAAGAUACGCGUAGAACCUUACCCACUCUUGACAUCUUCCGCAAAGCUAUAGAGAUAUAGUGGAGGCUAACGGAAUGACAGAUGGUGCAUGGUUGUCGUCAGCUCGUGUCGUGAGAUGUUCGGUUAAGUCCUGCAACGAGCGCAACCCUUGUCCUUAGUUAAAUGUUCUAAGGAGACUGCCCGAGUAAUUGGGAGGAAGGUGGGGACGACGUCAAAUCAUCAUGCCUCUUACGAGKGGGGCAACACACGUGCUACAAUGGACGGUACAAAGAGACGCAAUACGGCGACGUGGAGCAAAUCUCAAAAAACCGUUCUCAGUUCGGAUUGUAGUCUGCAACUCGACUACAUGAAGUCGGAAUCGCUAGUAAUCGUAGAUCAGCUACGCUACGGUGAAUACGUUCUCGGGUCUUGUACACACCGCCCGUCACACCAUGGGAGCUGGUAAUGCCCGAAGUCGGUUUUGUUAACUACGGAGACAACUGCCUAAGGCAGGACUGGUGACUGGGGUGAAGUCGUAACAAGGUAUCCCUACGAGAACGUGGGGAUGGAUUACCUCCUUUCU
RNAcentral lists this ribosomal RNA (1478 nucleotides) under Mycoplasma anserisalpingitidis. Its description in RNAcentral is "Mycoplasma sp. 1220 16S ribosomal RNA". It matches the Rfam family "Bacterial small subunit ribosomal RNA". Lineage: Bacteria; Bacillati; Mycoplasmatota; Mollicutes; Mycoplasmatales; Mycoplasmataceae. The record is from RNAcentral.